RNAcentral lists this unclassified non-coding RNA (591 nucleotides) under Hevea brasiliensis (rubber tree). Lineage: Eukaryota; Viridiplantae; Streptophyta; Magnoliopsida; Malpighiales; Euphorbiaceae. The record is from RNAcentral.
GAAAUUCUAAGAAGGAAGAGAUUGCAACAAUAGCAAUGAUAUUAUGAAAGGAAAACUACUAAAAUUUCAAAUUGAUGAAAAAAAAAGAGAAGGGAAUUGUGUUAGAUUUCCUUUGAUGAUCUUUUCUAAUAAUUCAAAAUUCAAAGAAUAAAAGUUGGUAAUUGUGGAUUUCUUGAAAGAGGAAACUGAUAAAAUAGAAUUGAUGAAAAAGAAAAGGCCAAGAGACAAUGAUGGCUUGGGUUUUUUUUCGGUAAAAGUAUUUUUAUGUCACUGCUGAUACCAUUCUUUUGAUAGAGUAGUAAAGAAUUUGGAAUUUUUUUUAUAAAAUUACCAAUAAACCCUAAAAACUUUUAAAAUACUGUGGGGCUGGUGGCCUAUCAAAAUCUGGUAGGCAAAAGAAGAAAAUUCUGUGCCAGAGGCCCAAUGCCCCUUUUGGCCCAUGAGUAGGUCCGUCACUGACCACAGAGAAAAUUACCAUAAAUUAUACUUACACUAUGUUUUGAUAGGUGAAAAAGGGGGAAGAAGGAAAAUAAUUAGAGGAAAAUCACUUUGAAAAGACACUUUACUUUGUUUGGAUAAGAGAGGGAAAAU